GUUUUGUUCUCUUGCGGGUUAGGUAGCUAACCACGUUUAUUUUUUUGAUUAAGUGUAUUGAUGCACGUUUUCUUUGCUAAAUAUGUUUUAUAGUUGGAUUGAGUUAUCUUGUCAGCGAGUAUAAAAUGGGAAGCUAGCUAUACGUUUGGCAGUGCUAGUUGGCCAGCCGUCCUGGAUUACUCAGACACCGUCCACGUCGCCAUUUUGUCACGGACACUAGCUAGCUAGCUUUCUGGAAUCGGGCGACUUGUUUGUGGUGAUUCUAGUUCACGAACGUUUGCAUUUUUAAACGUUAUUUUUUCUGAUUCGCAAUUUUGCAUUAUGUCUUGUGAUUUUUUAAUGUAGGGUGUCACUGGGAAUAUAAACGUGGCUCCCUGACGUUAACGUUACCUACCUAACAAACGUUAGUUAAAAUAGCUGCAGAAGUUUGCUUUUCUGGUUUGCAUGAUGGCUAACUAGCUAUACAACAGAGAAGCAAAUUAACAAAUGAAGUAAACAUGUGUCUAAUAGAGGUAGUUUAAACUGAAAACCAGGUAACUUUAAUGUGAGCAAGCUCUUUAAGCUACACGUAAGUCAUCCAACUGCUACUUAGUGUAACUCCAACUAUGUUAGCUGUGUUAACGUUUGUUGUGAGCUAUUUAGGGUUUUCCUGCCUGACUUAUUAACUAACAGGCUAAAUGAACACGUUAUCUAUCUUUAUCCGCAUGUUUUGCAUUUCCAAUCCGCACUUUAUUCCUUGAUCCUCAGUCGUUUGCAUCACACAGCGGUUGAAUGAAUUUAUAUAAAGCUGACAACGUGGUGUCGUUGAAGCGGCUGGAUAAGGGUAAUUACUGCGAUUCAGUGAAAUCUCAAAUUCAGAGGGGAAAAAAAAGUUUUAACUUUUUGCUAUUUUAAGAAGCAUGUUUAAAGUCAUUUAACUUGCUAGGUUGCGUCUGCCUAUUUUAGCCAACACAAAUCUGCACACGCUUAAAUAAUUUAUGUGUACUUCAAAGCCUCGUUAUUCUUCUUUGCAGACCAUUUACACAGCGUACAGUUGCGGCAUUGUCAAUUUUAUAGUGGCAUAUUUGCUCAGGAAAAUUGAGUUGAAGUUAAAAGGAAAUAUUUCAGUGUCUCACCUCCUAGGGUUCAAACCUUCGACUUGUCUACGCGUUCUUGUACCCCAACAAGGAUGUUUCUUUGUCUUGCUGGUUUAAACGAGCUGGUUGGUAUGAUAUGCAUUCACUGACAAUCACAUUUGAAAUCUGGCAAAUGUAUGUGCUAUUUUGCUAUUCCCUAAUUUCGUUGAAUUUAGAUGAUAGUAAAAACGUACCUGUUGCCUGUCUCGACAGCAGAAUAUUUUAAAAGAAUUGCCAUGUUAAUAAAUUAUUAAUUAGGAGCAUUGACCUUGCGUCCCACAAUUAAAGGCCUGCGUUUCUAUUUAAGUCUACUGGGUAAUAUACCUGUGCUACAUAAUUCUGACAGAAUUUUUGAAUGUGUUGGAGGAAAAUUGGCUUAACUGAGGUACAGUGGUAGCAAAGAGAUUUGAUUCAAUAGUCGGGUCCAUCUGCACAGGAUCUUGGCUUGAUGAAUUUCUGUAAGGACAUUAACUUGUGGUAGUGUCCUGCUGUGUGUGAUGUGGUGGGACUCUAGCCUUUUGUUUCUGGUGUAUUUUAGAGAGUGCCCUGUGUUAUUCCCAGCCUUCGUCAGUACGCGCUCCUUGCCGACUGUCAGGAAUACUCGCUGGCCGGUGUGAUUCGUUGCCUUCCCUUUGUGAUUGUAUUCCAGAUCUAUGUGUAGAGCAGGAUAAUUGACAUACGGAGAGACUUCCAUUCAUGGAGGCUAUGGGUUUAGGGAAUGGUCAAAACUUAGAACAGGACUGAAAAAUGGUCAAAAGUUUUAAGUUUAUUUGUAAAGUUGGUGAUCAUGUCUGUGACAUGAAGCCUUUUCCUGGUUCUGAUUUUUUAAUCCAAUAUCUUUCAGUGUCUUCCGCUCAAUUAAAUGGGCAGUCUGUUUUAGGGAGAGGCACUGUAUUGCUUUGGUAGUGAUUGCUCUUUAAAAUUUAAGUUUGUUGAAAGCUGUCCUUUGGUCCAUCUGUAAUAGAGCUGAUUCUCCCCCACACUACGUACCGAGCUCAGGAGGUUGCCAGACAGUGUUUUUAAUUUAGCUUUGCAGGCUUGAGUAUCACCUUUGUACUCAAGCCCAAUGGUUUCACAAACUCGGUCCCCCUGUGUAUGCUGGCUUUCAUGCCAACCAUAAUUGCAGUCCCAUAAUUUUAACAAGCUGUAAUAUUUUAUGAAGUACUCCUGUAAUGUUUAGAGAGAUUAUUUACCCUAUUUAGACGCAUUAUGUCAGAAAUAGCUAUGCAUGUCAUGAAGAAUAAAAGUCUACAUUCACGUUAUGCUAUAUUGUAAACUAGAUGUAAAAAAUUUUAACUCAUCAAAUUAAAGACUGAGGUGAACUGGUAGGCUGCUAACUGUGGACUUAUGCCCACUAAAACAAACCAUUUUGUAGAAAAUUAAGAAUUAAAAGACAAAGCCAAUGACAAGUGAAACCUGCAUUGUGUUUAUGCAUUUAAGGAAAAAAAUGAAAGAACUUGCAUGUGUUCAGCAACCUAAUUCAGAGGCUAUUGAAGCACUGCAGUCUUUAAUUUGGUUGAUUAAGAAAUUUGACUUCUUCAUGCAAUUGUUUGCAGUAUAGCACAAUAAGUGCAGUGUGAUCAUGGGAUUCUUAAUGGCAGAACAAUUUCUGUCAUAAUGUGGAUUAAGAGGGUAAAUAAUCCGUCUUAACAGCACCUAAUUAAGAAAAAUUAACAGCAUGUCAAGAUUCCGGGUUUGCUAUUGUGGUCAGCACAAAAAGCAGAAUACACAGGGGUCCCCUAGGACCAAGUUUGAGAACCACUGCUCUAGCCUACACCGCACACCAUAGGAAAAACAAGUUGGUCUUUUUGGUGUUAAUCUUGAAGUGUUAUUUAAUUUUAAUCAUGCAUAUGCGUAAAUGGGCUCAAUAUUUUUUUGUGCAUGUUCAGUGUACAUUUGAUUCUGAAUUUUGUUGUUCAUGUCUUCAUAUCUAACUUCUUAGUCACAGAUUACUUGACUUCAGUGAGAGUUCCUGCCACAACAUGUGGCACCAGAGGCUAAAUCAAGGGAAGCAGUAACAGAAUUGGCAGGAUUCACGAUUGGCAGGACAUGAUUCACGAUUUCACGAGGACAUGAAAAAUUGGCAGAAAUAAUGUGUGAGGACAUUUUCAAUUAUUUGGCUUACUCCCUCAGUGUGGUGCUAUUAUACACAGUUACAAAAUCACAGAUGUGCUGAUAAUAUAUGCAUUGUCACUAUAUGCCUGUCCUCCUCGCAAACUAGCUAGCUGUCAUUGUGUUAUGUAAUCUGUGUGUAUUUAUAAUUUUACUUUGUUCUUUGGCUAGCAUAGUAAACUUACAGUUGAGCUUUUGUUAUGUUGCACCUAUCCUUUCCAGUCUAGGAAUGUUGUCUUCCAGGUCUAGCACUAUUGUUAAUAUUAAUCAAGUGAAUGCAUUUAUGUUUCUCAUGUAUUGUAAAUUGCUCUGUGCAAGAUGAUCUGGAUUAGCCAAGAUAUUUCCAGUAUUCUAGGUGAAUGGCUCACUUACAAUGUUUUUUAAUGUGGUGAGGCAUUCUUUAACAUGGAUUAUCAUGCCUGAAUGCGAACAAUAAUAAUGUCUUCCAAGAAAGAUGAAAGAUUAGUCGCCGUCUCGAUUGCCAUCUGAGAUAAUGCUGGUUAAAAAGGGGACCUUCUGAAAUUUCAGUUCUCACUGUCUUGUAAAAAUAUUUAUCUGUGUCUUUGUGCAGUUUGGAACUUCCGCCUAAAUGUUUAAUCAAGGAAGAACCAACUGAAGGUCACCCAACAGAAAUUAUUUGUAAUCUUAACCAGUCCAUAUAUUUCUUGUCAACGCGUUUUCAUCUAGGGCUGAUAGCAUUUACUGGUAGUCUGCUGGGAUUUGAUGCAUUAGAUUGGUAGUUCUGGAUAGAAAUAUGGUAGCCCUGGGUGCCCGGGCUCUCGAUUUGGCCACCUUCUGAACCAUCAUGUGAUUAAAUGGUCCACUACAGAAUUUAUGGCCGUUGAAGACAUGAUCACAGCAUUUUGGAAUGGUGUUAAAAUUGUGGCUGUAUGUGUCUCUUCCUGUUUGCCUGACAUUUUUCGUUGCAUGCAAGAUAUUUUGACUUGCAGCAGAAAUGUUUUUUAUUUCAUACUUUCAUACAAGGGUUUUUGUUUCAAGGGUGUUAACUUGCGCUGUAUUAAAAAAUUUUUUAGAAAAAAAUGCAGUUUUUAAAAAAGCUGCAAUGAUGCUUGUCUCAAGUCAACCAUUUAUGUACAAGUUUACAAAAGCUGUGGACAUUCAUCGUCAGGUUCACGGGCUCUAAGGAACACAUUGGUGUGAUUGUGUUCUCAUUGAGAAGGGUUUAUUUAUGUGUUAAAGUGUUUGUUAAUUAAGUUUUUGCUGUUGAUAUUACGCUUGUACACACUGUUACAUUUCAUUUGCAUAUUAAAUAAUCUGGCUUCAUUUGCGCUGGAAGUGCUUUGCAUUUGUUUCAGUUUCAAUUAUGCAAAGAGCUUUAACUGCACUGAUUAAUCAUUUACUGUGCUGUGAAGAGAUCUUAGAUAUUGUGAAUUUGCAGUAAUGUCUUCGCCUAAUUAUCUACAUGAAAUAAACAUGAACAGCUUGUU
Long non-coding RNA from Anguilla anguilla (European eel), 4675 nucleotides. RefSeq lists it as uncharacterized. NCBI's taxonomy places the organism in Eukaryota, Metazoa, Chordata, Actinopteri, Anguilliformes, Anguillidae. The transcript has 2 exons. The record is from RefSeq and is a predicted model, not a curated record.